Molecule: long non-coding RNA, 244 nt
Filed under: Populus tremula
Lineage: Eukaryota; Viridiplantae; Streptophyta; Magnoliopsida; Malpighiales; Salicaceae
Description: long non-coding RNA (PTRE_LNC000104)
Source: RNAcentral
ACAAGCUAAAUGGAGACUUGGGUGUCCUAUGCCUUUGCAUGGCUCGCCACUGUAUCCCUUAUCCUGCUAGCCAGCCGUCUCCGCCGCCGCAAACUCAACCUUCCACCUGGCCCAAAACCCUGGCCCAUAAUUGGAAACCUCAACCUCAUAGGCGAACUCCCACACCGUUCCCUCCAUGCACUCUCUCAAAAAUAUGGCCCCAUUAUGCAAGUCCAGUUUGGAUCAUUCCCGGUUGUGGUUGGCU